UACAGAGGGUGCAAGCGUUAAUCGGAGUUACUGGGCGUAAAGGGCGCGUAGGUGGUUAUGUAAGUUGGAUGUGAAAUCCCUGGGCUUAACCUAGGAACUGCAUACAAGACUGCAUAGCUAGAGUACUGUAGAGGGUAGUGGAAUUUCCGGUGUAGCGGUGAAAUGCGUAGAGAUCGGAAGGAACACCAGUGGCGAAGGCGGCUACCUGGACAGAUACUGACACUGAGGCGCGAGAGCGUGGGGAGCAAACAGG
RNAcentral lists this ribosomal RNA (253 nucleotides) under uncultured bacterium. RNAcentral's name for it is "partial 16S ribosomal RNA". It matches the Rfam family "Bacterial small subunit ribosomal RNA", at positions 524 to 776 of the family's 1533-position model. The record is from RNAcentral.